Molecule: ribosomal RNA, 253 nt
Filed under: uncultured bacterium
Lineage: Bacteria
Description: partial 16S ribosomal RNA
Rfam family: Bacterial small subunit ribosomal RNA
Source: RNAcentral
UACGAAGGGUGCAAGCGUUACUCGGAAUUACUGGGCGUAAAGCGUGCGCAGGCGGUUUUGUAAGACUGUCGUGAAAUCCCCGGGCUUAACCUGGGAAUGGCGAUGGUGACUGCAAGGCUAGAGUUUGGCAGAGGGGGGUAGAAUUCCACGUGUAGCAGUGAAAUGCGUAGAGAUGUGGAGGAACACCGAUGGCGAAGGCAGCCCCCUGGGUCAAAACUGACGCUCAUGCACGAAAGCGUGGGGAGCAAACAGG